GCCAGAUACAACACGGCAGCGUUUUGACAUGGCCUCAUUUAAUCACGUGACCUCCUCCGGUCAGUACGAGUCGGAAGUCUGGAAAUGCUCUGAUCUUUGCUUCUUAUUCUUUCACUCGGAAUUCAAGAGGUUUCUCUUCUGUUCAGGCAGAGUUGAUGAUGAUGGCGAUGAAGUGGAUGAUUUAGGGUAUGAUGCGAGGUUGGCCAGGCAAUGGAAGCAAAGGCGCAUUGCCUAUCAAGAUUUCAAGCUCAAUUAUGGUGGUAAAAUUAGCUCCAGUGAAGGUAAUUCUAAUGAGGAUCUUAAGAAAAUCCCUGAAACUAAUUUUAGAUUGAGGUUGAUGAUGAUGAUGAUGAAUCAAUCUCAUUGUAGUUAGUUUCAGGGAUGUUCUUAAGAUCAUGUUUGCAACCAUAGUUCUAGGAUGAUAGUGACAAUGGAGGUAAUGGUUGGUAGAUAACAGGUUAAAUUUUGUUGAUGCUCUAAAUAAUGAUGCAGAUCUUCAGAAGAGAGAUGAAAUUUACGACACUAAAGAAGUGGAAUAUGUGGAUGCUGACAAUAAGUACUUGGAAUUUUGGAUAGCUUAGAUUUAGAACCAUUUGUUGGUAGCGAUGUAUAUGUUUUUUUUUUUUUUAAUCUGAG
Molecule: unclassified non-coding RNA, 636 nt
Filed under: Hevea brasiliensis (rubber tree)
Lineage: Eukaryota; Viridiplantae; Streptophyta; Magnoliopsida; Malpighiales; Euphorbiaceae
Source: RNAcentral